UGGGCUCGAACGGCUGUCCAACGGUCGUGGAAACACGGCUACUCCGCAAGGGGGUACAGUCGAGGUGCUGCAUGGCUGUCGUCAGCUCGUGUCGUGAGAUGUUGGGUUAAGUCCCGCAACGAGCGCAGCCCUUGUCCUGUGUUGCCAUGCGGCCGGGUAACUGGCCGCGGAACUCGCAGGAGACCGCCAGCGAUAAGCUGGAGGAAGGUGGGGAUGACGUGCCCUUCCAUCACA
Molecule: unclassified non-coding RNA, 234 nt
Filed under: uncultured Terriglobia bacterium
Lineage: Bacteria; Pseudomonadati; Acidobacteriota; Terriglobia
Description: uncultured Acidobacteriia bacterium contains 16S-23S intergenic spacer region
Rfam family: Bacterial small subunit ribosomal RNA
Source: RNAcentral